ACUCCUGCGGGAGGCAGCAGUGGGGAAUUUUGGACAAUGGGCGAAAGCCUGAUCCAGCAAUGCCGCGUGAGUGAAGAAGGCCUUCGGGUUGUAAAGCUCUUUUGUCAGGGAAGAAACGGUGAGAGCUAAUAUCUCUUGCUAAUGACGGUACCUGAAGAAUAAGCACCGGCUAACUACGUGCCAGCAGCCGCGGUAAUACGUAGGGUGCAAGCGUUAAUCAGAAUUACUGGGCGUAAAGCGUGCGCAGGCGGUUUUGUAAGUCUGAUGUGAAAUCCCCGGGCUCAACCUGGGAAUUGCAUUGGAGACUGCAAGGCUAGAAUCUGGCAGAGGGGGGUAGAAUUCCACGUGUAGCAGUGAAAUGCGUAGAUAUGUGGAGGAACACCGAUGGCGAAGGCAGCCCCCUGGGUCAAGAUUGACGCUCAUGCACGAAAGCGUGGGGAGCAAACAGGAUUAGAUACCCCAGUAGUCCCAUG
This 473-nucleotide ribosomal RNA is filed under the name uncultured organism. RNAcentral describes it as "partial 16S ribosomal RNA". It matches the Rfam family "Bacterial small subunit ribosomal RNA", at positions 335 to 799 of the family's 1533-position model. The record is from RNAcentral.